UUCGUAGGUGGCCAACUAAGUCAUACGUGAAAUCCCUCAGCUUAACUGGGGAACUGCGCCUGAUACUGGUUGGCUUGAGUGCAGGAGAGGAACGCGGAAUUCCAGGUGUAGCGGUGAAAUGCGUAGAUAUCUGGAGGAACACCGGUGGCGAAGGCGGCGUUCUGGACUGCAACUGACACUGAGGAACGAAAGCCAGGGAGCAAACG
This 206-nucleotide ribosomal RNA is filed under the name uncultured bacterium. RNAcentral describes it as "partial 16S ribosomal RNA". It matches the Rfam family "Bacterial small subunit ribosomal RNA", at positions 568 to 774 of the family's 1533-position model. The record is from RNAcentral.